RNAcentral lists this unclassified non-coding RNA (457 nucleotides) under Hevea brasiliensis (rubber tree). The record is from RNAcentral. Lineage: Eukaryota; Viridiplantae; Streptophyta; Magnoliopsida; Malpighiales; Euphorbiaceae.
UAGUUAUUCUUUGCAUCUGAGUUUUCCAGUUUGAUGAUCAAAUAACGUCUGACCUUCUUCUCUUUGGUUAAUAUUGUAAGUUGCUGCACUUUCUUUCUUUGUUUUGCUGGUUUCCCCUCUUUUCUGCUGGAAGUUAAGAAAUUUACUGUAUUAUUGCAAUUCAUCAUUGGUGUCUGCACAAAGCUGGAAGGUUAAGAACAUGAUCUCUUUAAUGCGUCACUGUUGGACACAUUUUUUUUAUGUUUGAAAGUGCUGGAACUGAUAUGAUGCAUGUAGAAAGGCCAAACUAUGAUGUAUGUGAGACGUGCUCUAAGGUAGGGAUCACUAUAUUGGUGAGGGAGCAGUGAUAAAAACAUGUCAUUUGUCAAUUCUAUUUACUUUUCAUGGUCACUGUGUUUAGGCUUUGAGCUUCUAUUUUAAAUUUAAAAAUUUUUAAAAUUAGGUUAAUGGAGUAUUG